This 574-nucleotide ribosomal RNA is filed under the name Taphrina vestergrenii. Its description in RNAcentral is "eukaryotic LSU rRNA". It matches the Rfam family "Eukaryotic large subunit ribosomal RNA", at positions 62 to 648 of the family's 3401-position model. Lineage: Eukaryota; Fungi; Ascomycota; Taphrinomycetes; Taphrinales; Taphrinaceae. The record is from RNAcentral.
AAACUAACUAGGAUGCCUUCAGUAACGGCGAGCGAAGCAGGCAUAGCUCAAAUUUGUAAUCUGGCGCCUCUGGCGUCCGAGUUGUAUUUUCUAGAAGCGAGUUCGGCGACAGCCCCGGUCCAAGUCCGUUGGAACACGGCGUCAUGGAGGGUGAGAAUCCCGUGUCUGGCUGGGUGUCUGCUGCUAUGUGAACCGCCUUCGAAGAGUCGAGUUGUUUGGGAAUGCAGCUCUAAAUGGGAGGUAAAUUUCUUCUAAAGCUAAAUAUUGGCCAGAGACCGAUAGCGAACAAGUAGAGUGAUCGAAAGAUGAAAAGAACUUUGAAAAGAGAGUUAAACAGUACGUGAAAUUGUUGAAAGGGAAGCGCUUGAGAUCAGACUUCCUGCCGGUUCUGUCCCAUGCUACUUAGCAAGGAGUCCAGUCCGGUGUGGAGGCCAGCAUCAGUUUUGACGGCCGGAUAAAGGUUCGGGGAAGGUAGCUCUCCUCGGAGAGUGUUAUAGCCCCGGGCGUAAUACGGCCAGUUGGGACUGAGGACCGCGGCUCUGCCUAGGAUGCUGGCGUAAUGGUCUUAAGCGAC